UGAUAUGAGGUCUAAUGGGUCCUGUGA
This 27-nucleotide small RNA is filed under the name Bombyx mori (domestic silkworm). Its description in RNAcentral is "piRNA piR-bmo-1527417". The record is from RNAcentral. Lineage: Eukaryota; Metazoa; Arthropoda; Insecta; Lepidoptera; Bombycidae.